This 1027-nucleotide ribosomal RNA is filed under the name Lactobacillus delbrueckii subsp. bulgaricus. Its description in RNAcentral is "bacterial SSU rRNA". It matches the Rfam family "Bacterial small subunit ribosomal RNA", at positions 420 to 1440 of the family's 1533-position model. The record is from RNAcentral. Lineage: Bacteria; Bacillati; Bacillota; Bacilli; Lactobacillales; Lactobacillaceae.
GGAUCGUAAAGCUCUGUUGUUGGUGAAGAAGGAUAGAGGCAGUAACUGGUCUUUAUUUGACGGUAAUCAACCAGAAAGUCACGGCUAACUACGUGCCAGCAGCCGCGGUAAUACGUAGGUGGCAAGCGUUGUCCGGAUUUAUUGGGCGUAAAGCGAGCGCAGGCGGAAUGAUAAGUCUGAUGUGAAAGCCCACGGCUCAACCGUGGAACUGCAUCGGAAACUGUCAUUCUUGAGUGCAGAAGAGGAGAGUGGAAUUCCAUGUGUAGCGGUGGAAUGCGUAGAUAUAUGGAAGAACACCAGUGGCGAAGGCGGCUCUCUGGUCUGCAACUGACGCUGAGGCUCGAAAGCAUGGGUAGCGAACAGGAUUAGAUACCCUGGUAGUCCAUGCCGUAAACGAUGAGCGCUAGGUGUUGGGGACUUUCCGGUCCUCAGUGCCGCAGCAAACGCAUUAAGCGCUCCGCCUGGGGAGUACGACCGCAAGGUUGAAACUCAAAGGAAUUGACGGGGGCCCGCACAAGCGGUGGAGCAUGUGGUUUAAUUCGAAGCAACGCGAAGAACCUUACCAGGUCUUGACAUCCUGUGCUACACCUAGAGAUAGGUGGUUCCCUUCGGGGACGCAGAGACAGGUGGUGCAUGGCUGUCGUCAGCUCGUGUCGUGAGAUGUUGGGUUAAGUCCCGCAACGAGCGCAACCCUUGUCUUUAGUUGCCAUCAUUAAGUUGGGCACUCUAAAGAGACUGCCGGUGACAAACCGGAGGAAGGUGGGGAUGACGUCAAGUCAUCAUGCCCCUUAUGACCUGGGCUACACACGUGCUACAAUGGGCAGUACAACGAGAAGCGAACCCGCGAGGGUAAGCGGAUCUCUUAAAGCUGUUCUCAGUUCGGACUGCAGGCUGCAACUCGCCUGCACGAAGCUGGAAUCGCUAGUAAUCGCGGAUCAGCACGCCGCGGUGAAUACGUUCCCGGGCCUUGUACACACCGCCCGUCACACCAUGGAAGUCUGCAAUGCCCAAAGUCGGUGGGAUAACC